UGCAGCCGCUGAGGUGUCUCCUAUUGGCUACUGGUCACCCGGGGAGCCGCAGGCCCGAGCCCAUGUCCUCCUGGGAAAUGUAGUUUGAGGUCGUUGGAGGCUGUUCUUCCUGGUGGAGGGGGUGGAAUCCAAUACUGACAUUGGCGGAGAGACUCUAGUGAAGACAGGAUUGUGGGAGAUGAAGUCGAGACCGUUCUUUUUAUGUACCCAGAGUUCCUCCCCUCCGCCAGCCCCCUCCCCUGGUUCCUAUUGUCCCCAGAGUUUCGGGUUGAGGACAGUGUUCUGGAUGUUGUAGUUUGAAAUGUGCUGUCUUACAGAAUCGCCCUUCUUGGGAGAUGAAUCCUUGUAGCUGAAUGGAUCAUUAGGAUUGGGUUACUACAAUUUCACUGAUGACAACUUUUUGACUCACAAAUGAAACGAAAGCAAAGAAAGAGGAAUUGCAUUUUGCUCAGAUACUUGCCUAAAAUUUUUUAAAGUGACAUGAAGAAAGAAGAUGAUUUAAUAGACUCAAAAAUGUAUUCAGCAAACUGCUUUGUGCAAGGCCCUGGACUGGCCCAAUUGCUACAGAAUUGGAAAAUAGUCCUUCCUCUGAAGUACCUCAUGAUCUAAGAAGAGAGAUAGACUAUACAAUGUACAGAGUACUCUAAAAGGUUCUAGAUAGGGUUCUGUAGGACCAUAGAAGAGGAAGAACUCAUUCCAUUUCUGGAGAAAGCAAUGCUUGAAUGAUGAGCCUUGGAGAACCGCCAUCUGAUACGAAGAGCUGACUCACUGGAAAAGACCCUGAUGCUGGGAAAGAUUGAAG
Molecule: long non-coding RNA, 802 nt
Organism: Bubalus bubalis (water buffalo)
Lineage: Eukaryota; Metazoa; Chordata; Mammalia; Artiodactyla; Bovidae
Exons: 3
Source: RefSeq, a predicted model, not a curated record